RNAcentral lists this ribosomal RNA (525 nucleotides) under uncultured bacterium. RNAcentral's name for it is "partial 16S ribosomal RNA". It matches the Rfam family "Bacterial small subunit ribosomal RNA", at positions 28 to 523 of the family's 1533-position model. The record is from RNAcentral.
GACGAACGCUGGCGGCGUGCUUAACACAUGCAAGUCGAACGAGACGAUUGAAAGCUUGCUUUCGAAAGUCGAGUGGCAAACGGGUGAGUAACGCGUAGACAACCUGCCUUUGAGAUGGGGACAACAGUUCGAAAGGACUGCUAAUACCGAAUGUUGUAUAUUUUCCACAUGGAAGAUAUAUUAAAGAUGGCCUCUAUUUAUAAGCUAUCGCUCAAAGAUGGGUCUGCGUCUGAUUAGCUGGUUGGUGGGGUAACGGCCUACCAAGGCGACGAUCAGUAGCCGGUCUGAGAGGAUGAACGGCCACAUUGGGACUGAGACACGGCCCAGACUCCUGCGGGAGGCAGCAGUGGGGAAUCUUCCACAAUGGACGAAAGUCUGAUGGAGCAACGCCGCGUGAGUGAAGAAGGGUUUCGGCUCGUAAAGCUCUGUUGUCGGGGACGAAUGUGCAGUAUUUGAAUAAAGUACUGCAAUGACGGUACCUGACGAGGAAGCCACGGCUAACUACGUGCCAGCCGCCGCUCGUAA